GCCCGAUUGGCAGAGUUGGUCAGCGCGUGAGACUUUUAGUAAUCAAGCUGCGAGAUAUCUCGAGGUUAGGAGCUCGAAUCUCCUAUCGGGCG
Molecule: non-coding RNA, 92 nt
Organism: Westerdykella ornata
Lineage: Eukaryota; Fungi; Ascomycota; Dothideomycetes; Pleosporales; Sporormiaceae
Source: the annotation of a RefSeq genome assembly